This 526-nucleotide ribosomal RNA is filed under the name uncultured bacterium. RNAcentral's name for it is "bacterial SSU rRNA". It matches the Rfam family "Bacterial small subunit ribosomal RNA", at positions 28 to 583 of the family's 1533-position model. The record is from RNAcentral.
GACGAACGCUGGCGGCGCGCCUUAUGCAUGCAAGUCGAACGGUCCUUCGGGACAGUGGCGGACGGCUGAGUAACGCGUAGGUAACCUGCCCAGUGGUGGGGGAUAACUCGCCGAAAGGUGAGCUAAUACCGCAUAAGUUUUCCGGCUGAAAUGCUGGUCUGGAAAGCAGCAAUGCGCCACUGGAGGGGCCUGCGUCCUAUCAGGUAGUUGGUGGGGUAAUGGCCUACCAAGCCGUUGACGGGUAGCUGGUCUGAGAGGACGACCAGCCAGAAGGGGACUGAGACACGGCCCCUACUCCUACGGGAGGCAGCAGCAAGGAAUCUUGGGCAAUGGGCGAAAGCCUGACCCAGCGACGCCGCGUGAGGGAUGAAGGCCUUCGGGUCGUAAACCUCUUUUAUCGGGGAAGAAGUUCUGACGGUACCCGAUGAAUAAGCCACGGCUAACUACGUGCCAGCAGCCGCGGUAAUACGUAGGUGGCGAGCGUUGUCCGGAUUUACUGGGCGUAAAGGGCUUGUAGGCGGUACCG